This 697-nucleotide long non-coding RNA is filed under the name Pan troglodytes (chimpanzee). RNAcentral describes it as "long non-coding RNA NONPTRT010275". Lineage: Eukaryota; Metazoa; Chordata; Mammalia; Primates; Hominidae. The record is from RNAcentral.
CACAACUUGAGACUUACAGAUCAUGAUGAUGACCUAGAUGAUUCUCCUUUCAUGAAUAAUUACAUUGAGUUUGCUGAUAUAAGUAACCUUCCAACCUGCCUUCUUUCCACCAGAGCAUAUUUGCUGAGCACAUUCCACUCUGGUCUUCCAAGACUGAGCAGGCAACUCAGCAGCAGGCUCCUGCCAGCUACAGAGGUUUUCUUGCUCCCUGAAAAUGUAUAUCAGAAUCAUCCACAAUGUUUAUUUGGAAUACCACUGUGUGCUUGGAACUGGGUAGGUGUAUGGUAGGGGAGCAUCAAUAUGUCAGGUAAUUCCUGCCUUAUAAUCAAUCUAAAGCUGGCAAGAUCCUUUAGAUUUUUGCUAAAGCUGGCAAGACUGGUUUCAUUUCACAGUGGCAAACAAAAGGCAAAGGGAAUCUAUGUGCGAAAUAGUGGCUUCCUCCCCAAGUACCAGCCAGUGCCCUUCCAAUGACUUUGCUAGGCAUGACUCCAGUCAAACCCAGAGGGACAUUUGAUUUUGAUUUCUAAUGCUUCUUCUGUGUUGCCAUAUUCCUGAUCAAUCUAACCCUAGUGACAGAUUGUAUUAGUCUGUUUUCACACUGCUAAUAAAGACAUACCUGAGACUAGGUAAUUAUAAAGAAAAAUAGGUUUAAUGGACUCACAGUUCCACAUGGCUGGGGAGCCCUCACAAUCAUGGC